UUUGGUUAGAAUUUGGUUAGAAUUUGAUUUAGGGUUAGGGUUUGGUUAGGAUUUGAUUUAGGGUUAGGAUUUGGUUUAGGAUUUAGGAUUUGAUUAGAGUAUAAUUUAAGAUUUAGGAUUUGGUUAUAAUUUGAUUUAGGAUUAGAAUUUAGUUAGGAUUUGAUUUAGGGUUAGGAUUUGAUUUAGGAUUUAAGAUUUGAUUAGAGUGUGAUUUAGAGUUUAGGAUUUGAUUAGGGUUUGAUUUAGGAUUAGGAUUUAGUUAGGGUUUAAUUUAGGAUUAGGAUUUGAUUAAGGUUUGAUUUAGAAUUAAGAUUUGGUUAGGAUUUGAUUUAUGAUUAAGGUUUGAUUAGGAUUUGAUUUAGGAUUUAAGACUAGGAUUAAAAUUUGGUUAGGAUUUGAAUUAGGAUUAGGAUUUAGUUUAGGAUUUAGGAUUAGAGUUAAGUUUUGAUUAGGAUUUGAUUUAGAGUUAGGAUUUAGGAUUUAGUUAGAAUUUAAUUUAGGAUUUUGGAUUUGAUUAGGAUUUGAUUUAGGAUUUAGGAUUUUAUUUGAGUUUAUUUAGGAUAUGAGAUUUAAUUAGUUUUUGGCCUAAAGUUUGAAUGAAAUAAGAUUUCAACUAGGAUUAAAUUAAGAUUGAAUUCAAAUAUAUUUGAAAUAUGUUUGUAAUCA
Molecule: long non-coding RNA, 666 nt
Filed under: Physcomitrium patens
Lineage: Eukaryota; Viridiplantae; Streptophyta; Bryopsida; Funariales; Funariaceae
Description: long non-coding RNA (PPAT_LNC007061)
Source: RNAcentral